Molecule: ribosomal RNA, 440 nt
Filed under: uncultured bacterium
Lineage: Bacteria
Description: partial 16S ribosomal RNA
Rfam family: Bacterial small subunit ribosomal RNA
Source: RNAcentral
CCUACGUGAGGCAGCAGUGGGGGAUAUUGCACAAUGGGGGAAACCCUGAUGCAGCGACGCCGCGUGUGGGAAGACGGUCCUCUGGAUUGUAAACCACUGUCCCCAGGGACGAAGCUGACGGUACCUGGGGAGGAAGCUCCGGCUAACUACGUGCCAGCAGCCGCGGUAAUACGUAGGGAGCGAGCGUUGUCCGGAAUUACUGGGUGUAAAGGGAGCGUAGGCGGGGAUGCAAGUUGGGUGUCAAAACUACCGGCUCAACUGGUAGUCGCACUCAAAACUGCAGCUCUUGAGUGAAGUAGAGGCAGGCGGAAUUCCUAGUGUAGCGGUGAAAUGCGUAGAUAUUAGGAGGAACACCAGUGGCGAAGGCGGCCUACUGGACGGUGACUGACGCUGAGGCUCGAAAGCGUGGGGAGCAAACAGGAUUAGAUACCCUUGUAGUC